RNAcentral lists this transfer RNA (69 nucleotides) under Ictidomys tridecemlineatus (thirteen-lined ground squirrel). Its description in RNAcentral is "Spermophilus tridecemlineatus (thirteen-lined ground squirrel) tRNA". It matches the Rfam family "tRNA". From Rfam's summary of the family: Transfer RNA (tRNA) molecules are approximately 80 nucleotides in length. The record is from Rfam by way of RNAcentral. Lineage: Eukaryota; Metazoa; Chordata; Mammalia; Rodentia; Sciuridae.
GGGGUUGUGGCUCAGUGGUAGAGUGCUUGCCUAGCAUGUGUAAGACCCUGGGUUCAAGUCUCAGCACCA